AACUCUUCGCAUGAGGUGGCCAAAGUACUGGAGCUUCAGCUUUAGCAUAUAGGUAUAGUAAGAUCUUAUUCAUCCAAAAUUCAACUACAGCUUCACCUCUCCUUUCUAGAUUCGAGCUAUGAUCAGGAAAUGGAAAAAUAAGCCAUCAAGCAGGCAAAUUAGAUGUCUGAGUCCAUAUACGAAAUAAAACUGAGGCACGUCACUCACCAGAAGUCUAUUGGGAUUCCUUCAUUCCAUCAGUUUAAUGUAUUUCGUCAAGAUAAUUAUAUCAAGCUUGAUAAUAUGCUUUACUCAUGGCAAAUCAAUAGAAAGGGACAGGGUCUACUGAAAGCCCUGAGAUUGUUAGCUUACAUUCCAAGAGGCAUGUUGAAAGGAAAAGCUCUACAAAGCUAAUCUCAGGACCUAAGACCACAACAUACUGGUUCAUUCUGUGCAGGGACAAACCUCAGAGAUCAAAUCUUUGUGAUGAUGAGCUUCUAAUGGUGGUCAUGAGGGACCAAAUCACAUUCAGGUACUCUUAGCAGGAUCUGCUGAGACUGGUUUUCAUACUUGCAGUUUAAGUGAAAUAGAAAAGCUUUUGACAAUAAAGAGUUUAAAAGUUAGGCUCUUUGGAAAAUGAGAUGGCAGAUUUCAUAUUGAUGGUGUUUGGAGAAUAUUAUUUAAAAAUGCUUAUUCUGUCAUCAGAAUGGCAUAAUAACUGGUCAGGGAUUCCUUUUUCUAAUGAACACAAGAAAAUCCCAACACAAAUUCUCAACAAAUGAAAACGUUCACAUCUAAAAUUCACAGUGGCUGGGUUUCCCUGGUGGCUCAGCUGGUAAAGAGUCUGCCUGCAUUGUGGGAGACCUGGGUAUGAUCCUUGGGUUGGGAAGAUCCUCUGGAGAAGGGAAUGGCUACCCACUAUGGUAUUCUGGCCUGGAGAAUUCCAUGGACCUUAAAGUCCAUGGGGUAGCAGAGAAUCGGACGCAAUAGAGCGACUCUCACGCAAAAAUGAGACAAGAUCAAUAUUCUAGCACAGUAAAACAGUCACAUAAUAUGUGACAGCCCAGAAGAAAUUCUCAUUUCUUUGUAAUGGAAUGACUUCAAAAAUCAUGAAAGAGUGUAAGGAAUGGAAACCUGUGAGCAAAGAUAUGAGAGGAGUUGUAGCAGUCAUGAAACCGGGGCAGGUUAGAGAUAAGAAGCAGAAACAUAAUUAUUAACUAUCAUAGGGCAAUUAAGAAUAUUACUGGCAUACUCUUUGACCUAACUAUCCAUUUCUAAGAAUUGCUGUUUUAGAUAUACUUAAACAAGGGUGCAGACAUAUGGUCACAAAGAUAUGUGUACCCUUGUUGGAAACAUACUUAUCCUUUGCUUUGGAAUAAUGAAUCUAGGAUAACUCGGCUAGUAACUGAAAAGGGGCUUUACAUAAGUUAUGCUUUACAGUAACUUUCAAUAUGCAAUACAAUAAAAUUGUAUACAAUACAAUAUAUACAAUAAAAUAAAAUUAUACAAUAA
RNAcentral lists this long non-coding RNA (1491 nucleotides) under Capra hircus (goat). Its description in RNAcentral is "lncRNA (ENSCHIG00010002577.1)". The record is from RNAcentral. Lineage: Eukaryota; Metazoa; Chordata; Mammalia; Artiodactyla; Bovidae.